Molecule: transfer RNA, 87 nt
Filed under: Gemmatimonadota bacterium
Lineage: Bacteria; Pseudomonadati; Gemmatimonadota
Description: tRNA-Ser
Rfam family: tRNA
About the family: Transfer RNA (tRNA) molecules are approximately 80 nucleotides in length. Their secondary structure includes four short double-helical elements and three loops (D, anti-codon, and T loops).
Source: RNAcentral
GGACAGGUGCUCGAGUGGUUGAAGAGGCGCGCCUGGAGAGCGCGUAGGCGGUUCUCCGUCUCGUGGGUUCGAAUCCCACCCUGUCCG